This is a long non-coding RNA of Halichondria panicea, 561 nucleotides long. RefSeq lists it as uncharacterized. NCBI's taxonomy places the organism in Eukaryota, Metazoa, Porifera, Demospongiae, Suberitida, Halichondriidae. The record is from RefSeq and is a predicted model, not a curated record. The transcript has 5 exons.
AGAAAACUGUUCGUAACUUGAAAGCGCUUCGACUUUUGAUUGUGCAAGUUAGACUAGGAAGAAAGACCAGUCAAAGAUCUACAAGAUGAUGCCCGAAUCGCUUACUAUCUCGAAGGAUUGGCUGUGAUCUGCUUCUGUCAAGCGCUACACAAGGUACUGGGUGUGGCUUAUAACCUGAGGCAGCUAUGUGUAAAGAGAAACAGUGACAGUGGUAAAAAGGUGUGACUGGAUCCAAUAAUCAGAGGUGGGGCCACGUAUGUACAGUGACAGUGGCAGUAGCAACGAGAUAUAAAAAGUGUCUGUGGCUACUGCUGAUACUUUGCUGUCACACUAUGCACUGCCACUGGGUCCCUUUUGGAGUACCUUGGAGUCGCCUCUGUCAAGAGUAGAAUACACGACAAUGCCAUGUACAGGAAGGUUGACGUUGGUGGUAGGACUUUCACAACAGUGCUCAGCUCAUGCAGUGUCAAUGUCCUAUCCAGAUCUACAUUUUUGAUAAUUUAUUGUUGUAAUUAUUGUUGUACUGUACCGGGUAUUUGAUAAUCUUGUUUUUAUUCUAUA